GUGGGGAAUCUUGCGCAAUGGGCGAAAGCCUGACGCAGCCAUGCCGCGUGAAUGAUGAAGGUCUUAGGAUUGUAAAAUUCUUUCACCGGGGACGAUAAUGACGGUACCCGGAGAAGAAGCUCCGGCUAACUUCGUGCCAGCAGCCGCGGUAAUACGAAGGGGGCUAGCGUUGCUCGGAAUUACUGGGCGUAAAGGGCGCGUAGGCGGACAGCUUAGUCAGAGGUGAAAGCCCAGGGCUCAACCUUGGAAUUGCCUUUGAUACUGGCUGUCUUGAGUUUGGGAGAGGUGAGUGGAACUCCGGGUGUAGAGGUGAAAUUCGUAGAUAUUCGGAAGAACACCAGUGGCGAAGGCGACUCACUGGCCCAAUACUGACGCUGAGGCGCGAAAGCGUGGGGAGCAAACAGGAUUAGAUACUCCGGUAGUCC
This 425-nucleotide ribosomal RNA is filed under the name uncultured bacterium. Its description in RNAcentral is "partial 16S ribosomal RNA". It matches the Rfam family "Bacterial small subunit ribosomal RNA", at positions 354 to 796 of the family's 1533-position model. The record is from RNAcentral.